Molecule: ribosomal RNA, 253 nt
Filed under: uncultured bacterium
Lineage: Bacteria
Description: partial 16S ribosomal RNA
Rfam family: Bacterial small subunit ribosomal RNA
Source: RNAcentral
UACGUAGGCAGCGAGCGUUGUUCGGAGUUACUGGGCGUAAAGGGUGUGUAGGCGGUUGUUUAAGUUUGGUGUGAAAUCUCCCGGCUCAACUGGGAGGGUGCGCCGAAUACUGAAUGACUAGAGUGCGGGAGAGGUGAGUGGAAUUCCUGGUGUAGCGGUGAAAUGCGUAGAUAUCAGGAGGAACACCGGUGGUGUAGACGGCUCACUGGACCGUAACUGACGCUGAGGAGCGAAAGCGUGGGGAGCGAACAGG